RNAcentral lists this ribosomal RNA (253 nucleotides) under uncultured bacterium. Its description in RNAcentral is "partial 16S ribosomal RNA". It matches the Rfam family "Bacterial small subunit ribosomal RNA", at positions 524 to 776 of the family's 1533-position model. The record is from RNAcentral.
UACGUAGGCAGCAAGCGUUGUUCGGAAUUACUGGGCGUAAAGAGUGUGUAGGCGGUGCUGUAAGUUCGGUGUGAAAUCUCCCGGCUCAACUGGGAGGGUGCGCCGGAAACUGGCAUGCUUGAGCGUGGGAGAGGAAAGCGGAAUUCCUGGUGUAGCGGUGAAAUGCGUAGAUAUCAGGAGGAACACCUGCGGUGUAGACGGCUUUCUGGACCAUUGCUGACGCUGAGACACGAAAGCGUGGGUAGCAAACAGG